RNAcentral lists this transfer RNA (77 nucleotides) under Fidelibacterota bacterium. RNAcentral describes it as "tRNA-Ile". It matches the Rfam family "tRNA". Rfam says of the family: Transfer RNA (tRNA) molecules are approximately 80 nucleotides in length. Their secondary structure includes four short double-helical elements and three loops (D, anti-codon, and T loops). Further hydrogen bonds mediate the characteristic L-shaped molecular structure. tRNAs have two regions of fundamental functional importance: the anti-codon, which is responsible for specific mRNA codon recognition, and the 3' end, to which the tRNAs corresponding amino acid is attached (by aminoacyl-tRNA synthetases). tRNAs cope with the degeneracy of the genetic code in two manners: having more than one tRNA (with a specific anti-codon) for a particular amino acid; and 'wobble' base-pairing, i.e. permitting non-standard base-pairing at the 3rd anti-codon position. Lineage: Bacteria; Pseudomonadati; Fidelibacterota. The record is from RNAcentral.
GGGCCCAUAGCUCAAUUGGUUAGAGCGCCGGACUCAUAAUCCGUCGGUUCGGGGUUCAAGUCCCUGUGGGCCCACCA